RNAcentral lists this ribosomal RNA (305 nucleotides) under uncultured bacterium. RNAcentral describes it as "bacterial SSU rRNA". It matches the Rfam family "Bacterial small subunit ribosomal RNA", at positions 333 to 652 of the family's 1533-position model. The record is from RNAcentral.
GUGGACCUACGGGGCGCAGCAGUGGGGAAUAUUGGGCAAUGGGCGCAAGCCUGACCCAGCAACGCCGCGUGAAGGAAGAAGGCUUUCGGGUUGUAAACUUCUUUUCUCAGGGACGAAGCAAGUGACGGUACCUGAGGAAUAAGCCACGGCUAACUACGUGCCAGCAGCCGCGGUAAUACGUAGGUGGCAAGCGUUAUCCGGAUUUACUGGGUGUAAAGGGCGUGUAGGCGGGAAAGCAAGUCAGAUGUGAAAACCAAGGGCUCAACCUGGGGACCGCAUUUUAUACUGUUUUUCUUGAGUACUGG